This 503-nucleotide ribosomal RNA is filed under the name Troides hypolitus antiopa. RNAcentral's name for it is "partial 16S ribosomal RNA". It matches the Rfam family "Bacterial large subunit ribosomal RNA", at positions 1830 to 2593 of the family's 2925-position model. The record is from RNAcentral. Lineage: Eukaryota; Metazoa; Arthropoda; Insecta; Lepidoptera; Papilionidae.
UUUUUGAAAAUAAUAUAAAGUCUAGUCUGCCCCCUGAUAAUUUAUUAAAGGGCUGCCGUAUUUUGACUGUACAAAGGUAGCAUAAUCAUUUGUCUCUUAAUUGGUGACUUGUAUGAAAGAUUGGAUGAAAUAUAAACUGUCUCAUUAUAAUUAUUAAAACUUAAUUUUUUAGUUAAAAAGCUAAAAUAUUUUUAAAAGACGAGAAGACCCUAUAGAGUUUAAUAAUUAUUUUAAUAUAAAUAAAAUGUAAAAAUUAAAAUUUAAAUUAAAUUAAUUAUUUUGUUGGGGUGACAGAAAAAUUAAAUUAACUUUUUUUAAAAAUAAACAUGAAUAAGUGAGUAAAUGAUCCAUUAUUAAUGAUUAAAAGAAAAAAUUACCUUAGGGAUAACAGCGUAAUUUUUUUUUUUAGGCCAAAUAAGAAAAAAAGUUUGCGACCCCGAUGUUGGAUUAAGAUAAAAUUUAAAUGCAAAAGUUUAAAAUUUUGAUCUGUUCGAUCAUUAAAA